GAUGAACGCUGGCGGCGUGCCUAAUACAUGCAAGUCGAGCGAACGGACGAGAAGCUUGCUUCUCUGAUGUUAGCGGCGGACGGGUGAGUAACACGUGGAUAACCUACCUAUAAGACUGGGAUAACUUCGGGAAACCGGAGCUAAUACCGGAUGAUAUUUCGAACCGCAUGGUGCAAAAGUGAAAGACGGUCUUGCUGUCACUUAUAGAUGGAUCCGCGCUGCAUUAGCUAGUUGGUAAGGUAACGGCUUACCAAGGCAACGAUGCAUAGCCGACCUGAGAGGCGGAUCGGCCACACUGGAACUGGGACACGGUCCAGGCUCCUGCGGGAGGCAGCAGUAGGGAAUCUGCCGCAGUGGGCGGAAGCCUGACGGAGCGACGCCGCGUGAGUGAUGGAGGUCUUCGGAUCGUGAAACUCGGUUAUUAGGGAAGAACAUAUGUGUAAGUAACUGUACACAUCUUGACGGUACCUAAUCAGGAAGCCACGGCUAACUACGUG
This 497-nucleotide ribosomal RNA is filed under the name uncultured bacterium. Its description in RNAcentral is "partial 16S ribosomal RNA". It matches the Rfam family "Bacterial small subunit ribosomal RNA", at positions 28 to 507 of the family's 1533-position model. The record is from RNAcentral.